Molecule: ribosomal RNA, 492 nt
Filed under: uncultured bacterium
Lineage: Bacteria
Description: partial 16S ribosomal RNA
Rfam family: Bacterial small subunit ribosomal RNA
Source: RNAcentral
AGUGAACGCUGGCGGUAGGCCUAACACAUGCAAGUCGAACGGCAGCACAGUAAGAGCUUGCUCUGACGGGUGGCGAGGGGCGGACGGUGGAGGAAUACAUCGGAAUAUACUUUUUCGUGGGUGAUAACGUAGGGAAACUUACGCUAAUACCGCAUACGACCUACGGGUGAAAUCAGGGGAUCUUCGGACCUUUCGCGAUUGAAUGAGCCGAUGUCGGAUUAGCUAGUUGGCGGGGUAAAGGCCCACCAAGGCGACGAUCCGUAGCUGGUCUGAGAGGAUGAUCAGCCACACUGGAACUGAGAAACGGUCCAGACUCCUACGGGAGGCAGCCGUGGGGAAUAUUGGAGAAUGGGCGCAAGAUUGAUCCAGACAUACCGAGUGGGUGAAGAAGGCCUUCGGGUUGUAAAGCCCUUUUGUUGGGAAAGAAAAGCAGCAGGUUAAUACCCCGCUGUUCUGACGGUACCCAAAGAAUAAGCAGCGGCUAACUUCGUG